UUCAUGAAAUUAUUUGUGAUAGCUAAUUAAUAACUAUUAUAAAAAUUAUAAUAUUAUACAACAAAUAAAUAAGUUUAUUUAGAAAACAAAUAAAAUAAAGUCUGGUGUAUUAUAAUUUACAAUACACCAGACUUUAUAAUUUAUAAAGUUUGUGUGUAAAUACAAUCGGUUUCAAUAUAAAAAAUUAUUCUCUUAAUACAUAACUGAAUACAAAAUAAGGAAUACAGAGAAUUUAAUAUUAUUUUACACAGGAAAUAAAUCAAUUUCAUUAGAAGAGAUUGUAAAAAAAAUGAUGAAAUGACAUAAAUUAAAGACUAUUAUUUAUUAUCUACAAAAUAUUAGUGCCCUAUAGAGUAUUAUUUUUUAAAUCUAUCUGUAUAUUCAAACUGUUCCUAAAUAUUUCGUUUUCUUAACUUCCUUAUAAAUAUGCAACUCUUACAUUACAGAAUUAAUGUAUAUGUUAUUUUUUUUU
Molecule: non-coding RNA, 472 nt
Organism: Cinara cedri
Lineage: Eukaryota; Metazoa; Arthropoda; Insecta; Hemiptera; Aphididae
Source: the annotation of a GenBank genome assembly